UUUCCGUAGGUGAACCUGCGGAAGGAUCAUUAUUGAAACUUCAUCCGGGGCGCCGCGGCCCUCAGCACCGGUGGAAGCGCAGUGCUGCGGGGGCCUCGCGUGCACUCGUCCAAACCAAACCCCUGUGAACCUUACGGGAUGGCCCGGGUUAGCGCCCGGUGCCGUUCCGCUUUAUACAAACACUUAUCAAAGAAUGAACUGAAGGCGGUCUGACCGCUGGAUAACGAACUGAACCAACUUUCAACAACGGAUCUCUUGGCUCUC
RNAcentral lists this unclassified non-coding RNA (264 nucleotides) under plant metagenome. RNAcentral describes it as "partial contains small subunit ribosomal RNA, internal transcribed spacer 1, and 5.8S ribosomal RNA". The record is from RNAcentral.